CAGAAAUUAGCAGACAUGCUGUUCAGCUUCGGGAACUGUGAGACCGGUGCUGUCAUGGCUGUCGUCAGCUCGUGUUGUGAAAUGUUGGGUUAAGUCCCGCAACUGAGCUNAACCUUAUCCGUUUGUUGCCAGCGGUUCAGGCCUGGGAACUCAAAGGAGACUGCCAGUGAUAAACUGGAGGAAGGUGGGGAUGACGUCAAGUCAUCAUGGCCCUUACGACCAGGGCUACACACGUGCUACAAUGGCAUAUACAAAGAGAAGCGACCUCGCGAGAGCAAGCGGACUCUUUNNCNGUAUGUCUGUAUCCGGGAUCUGGAGUCUGGCAACUCGACGUCCAUGAAGGUCGGAAUCGCUAGUAAUCGUAGAUCAGAAUGCUACGGGAAUA
RNAcentral lists this ribosomal RNA (385 nucleotides) under Klebsiella sp. LGI4SU. RNAcentral describes it as "bacterial SSU rRNA". It matches the Rfam family "Bacterial small subunit ribosomal RNA", at positions 991 to 1368 of the family's 1533-position model. The record is from RNAcentral. Lineage: Bacteria; Pseudomonadati; Pseudomonadota; Gammaproteobacteria; Enterobacterales; Enterobacteriaceae.